Molecule: long non-coding RNA, 1658 nt
Filed under: Marmota monax (woodchuck)
Lineage: Eukaryota; Metazoa; Chordata; Mammalia; Rodentia; Sciuridae
Source: RNAcentral
AACUUCAUUCACUUAUGUGAUAAGAUGAAUGGGAAUGGCAUUUAAAAUUGUUUCCUAAUAAGUCUAAUGUUAUAGAAAAUUAUAUUAUAAAAAUAGCUUUAAUCCUUUUUUUGCCAUUAAGGUAUUCAGUUUAUCACUGUUCAUUCAACAGACAUUUAUUUAUUUAUUUGGUACCAGGGAUUGAACCUCAGGGGCACUUAACCACUAAGUCACAUCCCCAGCCUUUUUUUCAUAUUUUAUUUAGAGAUAGGGUCUCAUUGAGUUGCUUAGGGCCUCACUAAAUUGCUAUGGCUGGCUUUGAAUUCACCAUCCUCCUGCUUCAACCUCCUGAGCUGCUGGGAUUACAGGUGUGAGCCACCAUGCCCAUCUUCAACCUGUGUUUAUUGAACCCUGACUAUGUUGGAAAAUGAAACUCCUGGCACUGCAUGGAAGUAUUAGACAGGUGGGGAUGCAUGUCACAGGAAGUAGCACAGAUGAUGCUAGUUGUCUCAAGGAAGUUUCCAGUUUGGGAGAUCAGAGAGAGCUUGGUGGGGAAAGGUGAGUCUCAAACUGAGCCUUAAAAAAUAGGUGCAAUGUUAUGUAAAUAUAGGAAAGAAAAAUCCAGGGACAAUAUGGGUAGCAAGGAAAUUAAUAUACUGUAAUAACUGUAGACCACUUAUGAAACACUGAAAUAUGGAAAUAGGAUGUUUAUAAUCAGUAGGGCCUGGUGGAGUUUUAAUCAUUGUUGAUGGUAUUGAUGAGUUGUGUGUAUGUGUAUGUUUAGGAGUAAUGAAGAAAUGAGUCAAGUUCACAGAGGAAGUAAAAGAGAUGGUAUGAACAGUUAAACCCUGGAAAUAAAAAACUCUUUCUUUGAGAUAGAAACUAUCAUACUUUAUUAAGAAAGAACAUCUAAAGAGUCACAGUUUUUACUGUGUGCUUCCUCACUUUCCCUUUCCUCCAUCUAAUACAUCUCAGCCUCUAGACCUAUAUUUUCAUUAAUAAUUACAUUCAUUUCUUAGCAUAUGCUGGGAACCCAAGACCUUGCACAUACUAAGCACCAUACAUUCAUUUUACUACUCAUUAGGCACCCACUAUGUGCCAGGCAUUAUGUCAGGUGUGAUGGGUACAAAGAUCAAUCAACUGAAUCCCUUUUAGCCUACUGUUGCCUAGCACAAUGUGAGGCACACGGUUAAUACUCAAUAAAAGUUGGCUUCUUUGUGGUAGAGAAUAUAAAAAAAUGAAAAAUCACAGACUAGUUAUCUGUGAAAUUCUCAGUAAAGUAAAAUGGUUAUUAUCCAGUGAGAAUGGAAAGGGUAAGUAGUGAAUUAGAUGUGUGACUUGAAGUACCUGCUGAGGGAAGUGUGCUGGGGAAUAGAUGGGAGAUCAAUACCAAGACUGUCGAACAGCAAUGAGAAUGAGUUAGAGUAGGAUAGAUUGAUUUUGGAGUAGGCCAGUGAUACACAUGUUGGUAUGAAUUUCUCAUGGAAUACUAUUUUAACAGAAUUCACUAUAGCACAGAAGAAUCAGGGGAAACACACUGGGGCAAGGUGGAGACUGAAGGUGAGAAUUGGCUUGGAGAAAAGAUAGGACUUUAAUAAAAGCAAAGUGGAGUUUCACAUUUUGCUAAGGGCAAGUCAUUUCUCCUCCAGAUAACUUGGUGUUACAUGAUAUUUACUUCA